UCAGAUAGUAGUUUAAACAAAAAUAAUGACAUUGGAAGUCAAAGAUCAAAAAAAUUUGUUAUCUGAU
This 67-nucleotide transfer RNA is filed under the name Sypharochiton sinclairi. RNAcentral's name for it is "tRNA-Pro". The record is from RNAcentral. Lineage: Eukaryota; Metazoa; Mollusca; Polyplacophora; Chitonida; Chitonidae.